GCUCAGAACGAACGCUGGCGGCGCGUUUAAGCAUGCAAGUCGAACGGGAUCAUUCCUUCGGGGAUGUGAGAGUGGCGAACGGGUGAGUAACACGUAGGUGAUCUACCGCUUGGCGGGGGAUAGCCCAUGGAAACAUGGGGUAAUACCGCAUACGACCGAUCUGCUGUGGCGGGUUGGGGAAAGGCGCUUAGGCGUCACCGAGCGAUGAGCCUGCGGCUGAUUAGCUAGUUGGUAGGGUAACGGCCUACCAAGGCAACGAUCAGUAGCCGGCCUGAGAGGGUGAUCGGCCACACUGGGACUGAGAUACGGCCCAGACAACUACGGUUGGCAGCAGCUAAGAAUCUUCCGCAAUGGACGAAAGUCUGACGGAGCGACGCCGCGUGGGCGAUGAAGGCCGUGAGGUUGUAAAGCCCUUUUCUAUCGGAGGAAUAAGCCUGGGAGGGAAUGCCCGGGUGAUGACGGUACGGUAGGAAUAAGCCCCGGCCAAUUACGUGCCAGCAGCCGCGGUAACACGUAAGGGGCGAGCGUUGUUCGGAAUUAUUGGGCGUAAAGGGCACGUAGGCGGCACGGUAAGCCUGGUGUGAAAGACCGCAGCUUAACUGCGGAGACGCGCUGGGAACUGCCGAGCUUGAGUGCUGGAGGGGGAGCUGGAAUUCCAGGUGUAGGGGUGAAAUCUGUAGAUAUCUGGAAGAACACCGGUGGUGAAGACGAGCUCCUGGCCAGAUACUGACGCUGAGGUGCGAAAGCGUGGGGAGCGAACCAGGAUUAGAUACCCUGGUAGUCCACGCCGUAAACGAUGUGCACUAGGUGUCGGGUUCAUUAGCGACUCAGUGCCGUAGCUAACGCGUU
This 849-nucleotide ribosomal RNA is filed under the name uncultured organism. RNAcentral's name for it is "bacterial SSU rRNA". It matches the Rfam family "Bacterial small subunit ribosomal RNA", at positions 22 to 861 of the family's 1533-position model. The record is from RNAcentral.